This 87-nucleotide ribosomal RNA is filed under the name Escherichia coli. RNAcentral describes it as "partial 16S ribosomal RNA". It matches the Rfam family "Bacterial small subunit ribosomal RNA", at positions 1 to 88 of the family's 1533-position model. Lineage: Bacteria; Pseudomonadati; Pseudomonadota; Gammaproteobacteria; Enterobacterales; Enterobacteriaceae. The record is from RNAcentral.
AAAUUGAAGAGUUUGAUCAUGGCUCAGAUUGAACGCUGGCGGCAGGCCUAACACAUGCAAGUCGAACGGUAACAGGAAGAAGCUUGC